UGGGGAAUAUUGGGCAAUGGGCGCAAGCCUGACCCAGCAACGCCGCGUGAGGGAAGAAGGCCUUCGGGUUGUAAACCUCUGUCCUUGGGGAAGAAAAAAAUGACGGUACCCAAGGAGGAAGCUCCGGCUAACUACGUGCCAGCAGCCGCGGUAAUACGUAGGGAGCGAGCGUUGUCCGGAAUUACUGGGCGUAAAGGGUGCGUAGGCGGUAGGCCAAGUCAGAUGUGAAAUCCCCGGGCUUAACUCGGGUGGUGCAUUUGAAACUGGUUUACUUGAGUGUAGGAGAGGAGAGCGGAAUUCCUAGUGUAGCGGUGAAAUGCGUAGAUAUCGGGAGGAACACCAGUGGCGAAGGCGGGUAACUGGACUGCAACUGACGCUGAGGCGCGAAAGUGUGGGGAGCAAACAGG
RNAcentral lists this ribosomal RNA (407 nucleotides) under uncultured prokaryote. Its description in RNAcentral is "bacterial SSU rRNA". It matches the Rfam family "Bacterial small subunit ribosomal RNA", at positions 355 to 776 of the family's 1533-position model. The record is from RNAcentral. RNAcentral also lists the same sequence under 1 other name.